Molecule: long non-coding RNA, 1746 nt
Filed under: Anser brachyrhynchus (Pink-footed goose)
Lineage: Eukaryota; Metazoa; Chordata; Aves; Anseriformes; Anatidae
Description: lncRNA (ENSABRG00000000724.1)
Source: RNAcentral
CUGAUUGCUAUAUUCUUUAUCUGUCAUGACUAGACAGAUGACAAUCUAUGAUAGCAAUUUUGCCUUUAAGGUUAUUUUCUUUUUUCUUUUAUUUAUUUUAUUUUAUUUUUUUUAACAGACUUUAAUAAUUUUCCUCACAGAAUGACUAACAGAAAUAUGACCCUUGUGCACCUUUUGUAGUUAAUUAAUUAGGUCAACUCUAACCACUAAGCCCCUUGUCAGGUUAUUUCUAUUAGGAGCAAUUGGAAAAUAAGGAGCAAUUGGCCUUAAAACAUUGAAGCCAGGUAGAUGAGCCUAUUCCACAAGGUCUCUUGGUUCCACCCUUGUUAACCGAAAUCUGCCAGGUGUGGAUUAUUUGACCUUUGCUAUCUAGGAAGCAUGAGAAGUUGGGGGGGGGAGGAAUUGGCUCCCUAGGGGAAUUUGAGGCUCAGGUUAUCUAGGGUGCUUUUCUAUCAUGGCAAAAUGGACUCUGUGUUCCCCAGUAGGCUGGUUUUUUUCUUUAUGUUUUCUACCAUCUCUGUGAAAUAGUUUCAGAGACUCUAUGAGUGAGUUACAUUGGUGGUACAUUGGACCUUCUGUCACAGACUGGUACAAUUUGUGAUCUGUCAAUUCAGUGCGUGCAGAUUGUGUAUAGCAGACAAGUAAAAUGUGGUCCUGUCAGCCCAAGACUUCAAAAACAGUCUGAGAUACAGGUUCUUAGGAAGACAAAGGUAGUGAAAGGGUCCAAGACUGGUUAUAAGCAAGCAAGUGAGCUAGGAGAACAUAUCCUCUUACUUCUCCUCAGCCAGGCCUCCUCGCAGAGCUGCAUGAAGAGUGUGACACGAAGUUGCUUGGGGAAAAGGGACGGUGCAGAGGAAGACAGCUCAGACCAUCAUCGUGCCAAAUCCCAAGAGGAAAUCAUGGCUGGAAUACAAUUACUGCCAGUGAUCCACAUCUUUGCCUCUGCAGACCUGGGUAAAUAAUGCCUGAUCCAUGACGAGUCUGACUACUUUUUGAGGAACUGCCCUUUGCAUGUAGGGUGUUCUUGUACUGGAAGAUAUACUACACGGUAGCUACAAUAACAGCUGUUGUCCAAGAGUGAAUCCCCGAUGGAAAUUUAGCCUCGUCUUGUUUCCUUGUUCUUUUCCUUCCCGUGAAAGCAUCGCUGGUGUUGAAGCUCUGUAGAGCACGGCUGCUGUAUGACCCUGCAGCACCUCUGCUUCCUGUGUUCGUUGUCGCUCCUCCAUGGCUGAGCUCAGUACAGGUUCAUCAGUCUGAGUUGCCUCAGAAAAGCUGUACCUCCUAAAAUCAAGCCAUAAAAUUGAGCCCAUACCAAAUGCUGUGCCUUUCACAUCUGAAUGAAGAAAGGACUUCAAAGUCAGUGAGACCACUCAGAAAUGCUAAAGCUCAGCAUAUGGGGUCAGCAUUUUUAGUAUUUACCCCCUUUGAAAAUGUCUAUGCUGAUUUAUGUUUUGAAACACUGUGAAAAAGAAGCUCGCCCCGCACCCAGAGCCAUACACCAAAAUAUUUUGAAUAGCAAGGGCAGCAGAACAAGUCAGUCAUGCUAACCUUGCACUACACAGACAUCUGUGAAAAUUUCACGCUUCCAUGAGCAGAUUCUCCAAAGGGCUGAAUUUGGCUGUAAGUCUCUCAGAGAAUGAUUCCAUUCCUCCUGUGCUUUUUUGGAGGUAUGUUUUUAAUUGUCCUUGGCAUAAAAAUAUUGAAAGACACAAAUUAAAUAAAAUGUCUAAACAACAGGAGGGGGCA